GGGUCCGUAGCUCAGCGGAAAGAGCAGCCGCGUCCUAAGCGGAGGGCCGCGCGUUCGAAUCGCGCCGGACCA
RNAcentral lists this transfer RNA (72 nucleotides) under Frankia nepalensis. Its description in RNAcentral is "tRNA-Arg". It matches the Rfam family "tRNA". Rfam says of the family: Transfer RNA (tRNA) molecules are approximately 80 nucleotides in length. Their secondary structure includes four short double-helical elements and three loops (D, anti-codon, and T loops). Further hydrogen bonds mediate the characteristic L-shaped molecular structure. tRNAs have two regions of fundamental functional importance: the anti-codon, which is responsible for specific mRNA codon recognition, and the 3' end, to which the tRNAs corresponding amino acid is attached (by aminoacyl-tRNA synthetases). tRNAs cope with the degeneracy of the genetic code in two manners: having more than one tRNA (with a specific anti-codon) for a particular amino acid; and 'wobble' base-pairing, i.e. permitting non-standard base-pairing at the 3rd anti-codon position. The record is from RNAcentral. Lineage: Bacteria; Bacillati; Actinomycetota; Actinomycetes; Frankiales; Frankiaceae.